This is a long non-coding RNA of Epinephelus fuscoguttatus (brown-marbled grouper), 368 nucleotides long. RefSeq lists it as uncharacterized. The record is from RefSeq and is a predicted model, not a curated record. NCBI's taxonomy places the organism in Eukaryota, Metazoa, Chordata, Actinopteri, Perciformes, Serranidae. The transcript is spliced from 3 exons.
CGCGACUGCUGUUAUUUGAUCCUCUGACAGAAACACCCGCCACUCGCCGCUGCUCACAGUUCAUGUUCUCGUUCUUUAUUCUGCUGGCUCCGCCCACCUCUCACCAUCUAUGAUGGACCCAGGAUCCUCUGGUUCUGACCUCUGACCUCCCCCUCACCUCCUCUCCAGCUCCAGAGUUGGGAUCAACCGUUGUGUUUUCAGGGAUAAUAUCAGUCCUGGUUAUUGAUCAGUGAGAGGAUGGAGGAAAUGGAGGCGGAGUUACAGCUGCCAGGACCUGACUUGAAGGACCCGUCCUACCAAGGAAGCAUCCUUGAAUUUGAGAAGCUGCUAGUUCAUGUUGGGGUUUCUAUGCCGCUGUGUUGUUUUUG